RNAcentral lists this ribosomal RNA (529 nucleotides) under fungal endophyte sp. DM216. Its description in RNAcentral is "eukaryotic LSU rRNA". It matches the Rfam family "Eukaryotic large subunit ribosomal RNA", at positions 104 to 656 of the family's 3401-position model. Lineage: Eukaryota; Fungi. The record is from RNAcentral.
ACAGCUCAAAUUUGAAAUCUGGCCCCUAGGGUCCGAGUUGUAAUUUGUAGAGGAUGCUUUUGGUGAGGUGCCGCCCGAGUUCCCUGGAACGGGACGCCGCAGAGGGUGAGAGCCCCGUCUGGCUGGCCACCGAGCCUCUGUAAAGCUCCUUCGACGAGUCGAGUAGUUUGGGAAUGCUGCUCAAAAUGGGAGGUAUAUGUCUUCUAAAGCUAAAUAUUGGCCAGAGACCGAUAGCGCACAAGUAGAGUGAUCGAAAGAUGAAAAGCACCUUGAAAAGAGGGUUAAACAGUACGUGAAAUUGUUGAAAGGGAAGCGCUUGUGACCAGACUUGGGCGCGGCGAAUCAUCCGGGGUUCUCUCCGGUGCACUUCGCCGCGUUCAGGCCAGCAUCAGUUCGGCGCGGGGGAAAAAGGCUUCGGGAACGUGGCUGCUCCGGCAGUGUUAUAGCCCGUUGCAUAAUACCCUGCGCUGGACUGAGGACCGCGCAUCUGCAAGGAUGCUGGCGUAAUGGUCACCAGCGACCCGUCUUG